CUCGUCCCAGGCGGGGUUGUCGCCGUUGUCGAGGUCGACGCGGGUGGAGCAGCGCGCGCCGGCGUCGAUCCAGAGCACGGCGUAGGGCUUGAGGUCGCCGUUGCGCCAGUUGACGUUCUUGAGGUCGCGGGCGGAGCCGACGGUGAUCUCCACCUCGUACCGCGAGCCCAUCUUGUGGCGCUGGUGGUGGUGGUGUUGUCCGGCGGCGAUGUGAUGAGGUGAGGUUGGAGUGGGAGUGGGAGGACGGGUUGAGGAAGCCGGUGGGCAUAAAUAGCCGCCAGGAGCGCGUGCGCGGGGCGGCUCGGGCUGGGGGCGCGUGCACUGGGGAUGGUGCGGCGCAGCCCGUAAUGUU
Molecule: long non-coding RNA, 352 nt
Filed under: Triticum aestivum (bread wheat)
Lineage: Eukaryota; Viridiplantae; Streptophyta; Magnoliopsida; Poales; Poaceae
Description: long non-coding RNA (TAES_LNC002633)
Source: RNAcentral